AUUGAACGCUGGCGGCAUGCUUUACACAUGCAAGUCGAACGGCAGCGCGGGCUUCGGCCUGGCGGCGAGUGGCGAACGGGUGAGUAAUACAUCGGAAAGUGCCCAGUAGUGGGGGAUAGCUCGGCGAAAGCCGGAUUAAUACCGCAUACGACCUGAGGGUGAAAGCGGGGGAUCUUCGGACCUCGCGCUAUUGGAGCGGCCGAUGGCAGAUUAGCUAGUUGGUGGGGUAAAGGCCUACCAAGGCGACGAUCUGUAGCUGGUCUGAGAGGACGACCAGCCACACUGGGACUGAGACACGGCCCAGACUCCUACGGGAGGCAGCAGUGGGGAAUUUUGGACAAUGGGCGAAAGCCUGAUCCAGCAAUGCCGCGUGUGUGAUGAAGGCCUUCGGGUUGUAAAGCACUUUUGGCGGGAACGAAAAGGACUGUGCCAAUACCACGGUUCGAUGACGGUACCCGCAGAAUAAGCACCGGCUAACUACGUG
RNAcentral lists this ribosomal RNA (484 nucleotides) under uncultured bacterium. Its description in RNAcentral is "partial 16S ribosomal RNA". It matches the Rfam family "Bacterial small subunit ribosomal RNA", at positions 29 to 507 of the family's 1533-position model. The record is from RNAcentral.